This 79-nucleotide transfer RNA is filed under the name Barrientosiimonas humi. Its description in RNAcentral is "Dermacoccaceae bacterium 39 tRNA". It matches the Rfam family "tRNA". Rfam says of the family: Transfer RNA (tRNA) molecules are approximately 80 nucleotides in length. Their secondary structure includes four short double-helical elements and three loops (D, anti-codon, and T loops). Lineage: Bacteria; Bacillati; Actinomycetota; Actinomycetes; Micrococcales; Dermacoccaceae. RNAcentral also lists the same sequence under 3 other names. The record is from Rfam by way of RNAcentral.
UCCCCGGUUGCUCUGCUGGUAGGGGCCGCCUGACUUUGAAUCAGGAUUAGCGACGAAGGUUCGAUUCCUUCCCGGGGAG